CGAACGCUGGCGGCGUGCUUAACACAUGCAAGUCGAACGGAAAGGCCUGUCCUUCCUUGUGUUGGACGGGUACUCGAGUGGCGAACGGGUGAGUAACACGUGAGUGAUCUGCCCCCAACUUGGGUAUAAGCCUGGGAAACUGGGUCUAAUUCCCGAUAGGACUGCAGGGUGGUGCCUGUGGUGGAAAACGAUUUUCUAGUGGUUGGGGAUGAGCUCGCGGCCUAUCAGCUUGUUGGUGGGGUAAUGGCCUACCAAGGCGGCGACGGGUAGCCGGCCUGAGAGGGUGGACGGCCACAUUGGGACUGAGAUACGGCCCAGACUCCUACGGGAGGCAGCAGUGGGGAAUAUUGCACAAUGGGCGGAAGCCUGAUGCAGCGACGCCGCGUGGGGGAUGACGGCCUUCGGGUUGUAAACUCCUUUCGACCGCGAGGAAGCCACCUGGUUGGAAGGGUGGUGACGGUAGUGGUAGAAGAAGCACCGGCUAACUAC
Molecule: ribosomal RNA, 489 nt
Filed under: uncultured bacterium
Lineage: Bacteria
Description: bacterial SSU rRNA
Rfam family: Bacterial small subunit ribosomal RNA
Source: RNAcentral